GGGGCUGUAGCUCAGGGGGAGAGCGUUUCCUUGGCAUGGAAAAGGUCGUGGGUUCGAGUCCCACCAGCUCCACCA
This 75-nucleotide transfer RNA is filed under the name bacterium. RNAcentral describes it as "tRNA-Ala". It matches the Rfam family "tRNA". Rfam says of the family: Transfer RNA (tRNA) molecules are approximately 80 nucleotides in length. Their secondary structure includes four short double-helical elements and three loops (D, anti-codon, and T loops). The record is from RNAcentral. RNAcentral also lists the same sequence under 1 other name.